AGCUCCAAUAGCGUAUAUUAAAGUUGUUGUGGUUAAAAAGCUCGUAGUUGGAUUUCGGCGGGUAUUGGUCGGUUUGAAUUGCUUCAAUACUGACUUUUUUACCCGUGUGUUUUGCCAGAAUUUAACGGGUGAUCUUCGCCGAUUGUCUGUUAGAACUGGCAGGUUUACUUUGAAAAAAUUAGAGUGCUCAAAGCAAGCUUGAUUGCUUGAAUAUUCGUGCAUGGAAUAAUAGAAUAGGAAGUCGUUUCUAUUUUGUUGGUUUUCGGAAAUCGACUUAAUGAUUAAUAGGGACAGUCGGGGGCAUUUGUAUUCAAACGACAGAGGUGAAAUUCUUGGACCGUUUGAAGACAAACUACUGCGAAAGCAUUUGCCAAGAAUGUUUUCAUUA
RNAcentral lists this ribosomal RNA (388 nucleotides) under Temora sp. RNAcentral's name for it is "partial small subunit ribosomal RNA". It matches the Rfam family "Eukaryotic small subunit ribosomal RNA", at positions 587 to 975 of the family's 1831-position model. Lineage: Eukaryota; Metazoa; Arthropoda; Copepoda; Calanoida; Temoridae. The record is from RNAcentral.